This 392-nucleotide ribosomal RNA is filed under the name uncultured bacterium. RNAcentral describes it as "partial 16S ribosomal RNA". It matches the Rfam family "Bacterial small subunit ribosomal RNA", at positions 523 to 918 of the family's 1533-position model. The record is from RNAcentral.
AUACGUAUGUCGCAAGCGUUAUCCGGAUUUAUUGGGCGUAAAGCGCGUCUAGGCGGCUUAGUAAGUCUGAUGUGAAAAUGCGGGGCUCAACCCCGUAUUGCGUUGGAAACUGCUAAACUAGAGUACUGGAGAGGUAGGCGGAACUACAAGUGGAGAGGUGAAAUUCGUAGAUAUUUGUAGGAAUGCCGAUGGGGAAGCCAGCCUACUGGACAGAUACUGACGCUAAAGCGCGAAAGCGUGGGUAGCAAACAGGAUUAGAUACCCUGGUAGUCCACGCCGUAAACGAUGAUUACUAGGUGUUGGGGGUCGAACCUCAGCGCCCAAGCUAACGCGAUAAGUAAUCCGCCUGGGGAGUACGUACGCAAGUAUGAAACUCAAAUGAAUUGACGGGG